AAGAUUUUAAGUUAAUUAAACUAGUAGCCUUCAAAGUUAUUAAUAAGAGUUAAAUCUUUUAAAUCUUA
RNAcentral lists this transfer RNA (68 nucleotides) under Stenopus hispidus (banded coral shrimp). Its description in RNAcentral is "tRNA-Trp". It matches the Rfam family "tRNA". From Rfam's summary of the family: Transfer RNA (tRNA) molecules are approximately 80 nucleotides in length. Their secondary structure includes four short double-helical elements and three loops (D, anti-codon, and T loops). Lineage: Eukaryota; Metazoa; Arthropoda; Malacostraca; Decapoda; Stenopodidae. The record is from RNAcentral.